This 285-nucleotide long non-coding RNA is filed under the name Homo sapiens (human). Its description in RNAcentral is "non-protein coding lnc-SNX8-2:1". Lineage: Eukaryota; Metazoa; Chordata; Mammalia; Primates; Hominidae. The record is from RNAcentral.
ACUCACAGGACAAAUACACCAAGGAGAUGGAAGGGAAGAAAUAAAGAAGUCCAGGACCCGGAGGAGAGCUUUGUGCCUGCUGCUGCACCCCUAGGUCAUCAGAGAGAGCUGCAGAAGUACUCCAGUGAUUCUGAGAGCACCAGAAGAACCGGCGAUGCUGCGUUGCCAAGUGAGCAGAAGCUGGAGGAGUUGAAGGCAGAGGAGCCAGGUCACUUCAGCAGCAAAGUAGUGCAGAGGGGCCGAGAGUUCUUUGACAGCAGCGGGAACUUCCCGUGCAGAAUCUGA